This 501-nucleotide ribosomal RNA is filed under the name uncultured bacterium. RNAcentral describes it as "partial 16S ribosomal RNA". It matches the Rfam family "Bacterial small subunit ribosomal RNA", at positions 29 to 523 of the family's 1533-position model. The record is from RNAcentral.
AUUGAACGCUGGCGGCAUGCCAUACACAUGCAAGUCGAACGGCAGCACGGGUGCUUGCACCUGGUGGCGAGUGGCGAACGGGUGAGUAAUACAUCGGAACGUACCUUAUCGUGGGGGAUAACGCAGCGAAAGCUGUGCUAAUACCGCGUACGCCCUGAGGGGGAAAGCGGGGGAUCGAAAGACCUCGCGCGAUUAGAGCGGCCGAUGCCUGAUUAGCUUGUUGGUGGGGUAAAAGCCCACCAAGGCGGCGAUCAGUAGCUGGUCUGAGAGGACGAUCAGCCACACUGGGACUGAGACACGGCCCAGACUCCUACGGGAGGCAGCGGUGGGGAAUUUUGGACAAUGGGGGCAACCCUGAUCCAGCAAUGCCGCGUGAGUGAAGAAGGCCUUCGGAUUGUAAAGCUCUUUUGUCAGGGAAGAAACACCGGCUCUAACACAGUCCGGGAAUGACGGUACCUGAAGAAUAAGCACCGGCUAACUACGUGCCAGCCGCCGCCGUAA